Molecule: long non-coding RNA, 1343 nt
Organism: Triticum dicoccoides
Lineage: Eukaryota; Viridiplantae; Streptophyta; Magnoliopsida; Poales; Poaceae
Exons: 7
Source: RefSeq, a predicted model, not a curated record
GGCCGCCGCUCGCCUUCCUCCGGCAGCACCUCGCCGCCGUGUUUGCCUCCUCUCGCAGCUGCUCCGCCUCCGCCAUUUCAAUUCCUCCCAGCACCACGCCAGCGCGUCCCGUCCGCCCUCGAUGUGAUCGACGCUGACGAGGUUCCGUCAUCGUCUCAUCGACAUAUAUCCUGACAAGGUGAGAGGAACGAUCCCAUCAGGUCGAACAGCAAGAGGAACGAUUCCAUCAGGCUGAACGGCGAGCAGCAUCCAUGCCUGACGCACACGGCAUCGUGCCUGCUGAGCUAUACUGUUGCUUCAACUCGGAUGCAGCAGUACUACGUACUCUCCUCUUUCUGAUCAGGACGCUCCCAUCCGAUGGCCGUUGGGGCCGCCCCAUUGAACGUCGCUGUUGUAGGACAAAAUCCCCUGGAUCAUUCCUGGCGUGUAGAAAUUGCCGACUCGCGACUGGAUAUUACCACGGCGCCCGGAGAACGCUCGCUUGUCAGUUUGUGACUGGACAUGACAUGCACCUGGACGAUGAUGUUGCCUCACACCUGAGCAGCUUAACUAAACGAACAAAUCACAUAGGACCGAGGCAAAACAUUUGGUUCUUCAGGCCUAUGACUACUAAGUACUAAUAAGGAACACUUACUACAGAAAUUAAUCGGAUGCUCUAAUCAGAAGUUUCUCGACCGACCAAUCGUGAUUCAUGGGAAUUGACAUUUACUUCGUAGUGAAGUACACAAAUUGUAUUUGAUACAAUUGAGCUCGUGGUACUAAAAUUUUACGCCCCGUUGUAUACGCCAAGAAUUACCAGAAAUAUGAAAGGGAGGAGUCAAAGCUUGUGAAGAAAUGGAGCACUUCCAAGUUUGGCCGAUGAUGAUGAUGAGACUGACAACCACAAGGUAAGCUCGCCGAGUGCAUCCUCUCAAGGGUAGGAAGCGUUUUCGGAGGAAGACUGACGACCAAGAGGACGGGAAUGAUGAUGGUGUGAGACAAUGUAGCAGAAAACAAUAGCACAUAUUUCCGAGAGGAGUACAAAGGAGAACAAAAAAAAAAGGAUGAUGAAGACGUGUCGACACUCUUGAUGUAUGAUAUUCUUCCUAGGAUCUAAUUUUUUUUUUACAUAAAAACGCAUAGGUAUGAAAUGGUCAAUCAAAAUGUACAACAUCGCUUGUCCAAAAAACAUUUUGAUGUGUCUUAUUUUAGGUCAACAUCAAGUGCGGUUUUGUUAAUUUAGAUAUUGAUGCUUGGAUUGGGGAGACGGAAUAGUGAGUGCUGGAAGAAGACUGAUGUAAUGAAAAAGCUGACACUUGUUUGAUGUGCAUGUAGAUAUGAUCAAUGUUAAACCACUAGAAUUA